Molecule: ribosomal RNA, 640 nt
Filed under: uncultured Variovorax sp.
Lineage: Bacteria; Pseudomonadati; Pseudomonadota; Betaproteobacteria; Burkholderiales; Comamonadaceae
Description: bacterial SSU rRNA
Rfam family: Bacterial small subunit ribosomal RNA
Source: RNAcentral
AAACUUAAAGGAAUUGACGGGGACCCGCACAAGCGGUGGAUGAUGUGGUUUAAUUCGAUGCAACGCGAAAAACCUUACCCACCUUUGACAUGUAUGGAAGAUCGCAGAGACGCGAUUGUGCUCGAAAGAGAGCCGUAACACAGGUGCUGCAUGGCUGUCGUCAGCUCGUGUCGUGAGAUGUUGGGUUAAGUCCCGCAACGAGCGCAACCCUUGUCAUUAGUUGCUACAUUUAGUUGGGCACUCUAAUGAGACUGCCGGUGACAAACCGGAGGAAGGUGGGGAUGACGUCAAGUCCUCAUGGCCCUUAUAGGUGGGGCUACACACGUCAUACAAUGGCUGGUACAAAGGGUUGCCAACCCGCGAGGGGAGCCAAUCCCAUAAAGCCAGUCGUAGUCCGGAUCGCAGUCUGCAACUCGACUGCGUGAAGUCGGAAUCGCUAGUAAUCGUGGAUCAGAAUGUCACGGUGAAUACGUUCCCGGGUCUUGUACACACCGCCCGUCACACCAUGGGAGCGGGUUCUGCCAGAAGUAGGUAGCCUAACCGUAAGGAGGGCGCUUACCACGGCAGGGUUCGUGACUGGGGUGAAGUCGUAACAAGGUAGCCGUAUCGGAAGGUGCGGCUGGAUCACCUCCUUUAUGAC